RNAcentral lists this ribosomal RNA (513 nucleotides) under Streptococcus thermophilus. Its description in RNAcentral is "bacterial SSU rRNA". It matches the Rfam family "Bacterial small subunit ribosomal RNA", at positions 56 to 552 of the family's 1533-position model. Lineage: Bacteria; Bacillati; Bacillota; Bacilli; Lactobacillales; Streptococcaceae. The record is from RNAcentral.
UGCAAGUAGAACGCUGAAGAUAGGAGCUUGCUCUUCUUGGAUGAGUUGCGAACGGGUGAGUAACGCGUAGGUAACCUGCCUUGUAGCGGGGGAUAACUAUUGGAAACGAUAGCUAAUACCGCAUAACAAUGGAUGACACAUGUCAUUUAUUUGAAAGGGGCAAUUGCUCCACUACAAGAUGGACCUGCGUUGUAUUAGCUAGUAGGUGAGGUAAUGGCUCACCUAGGCGACGAUACAUAGCCGACCUGAGAGGGUGAUCGGCCACACUGGGACUGAGACACGGCCCAGACUCCUACGGGAGGCAGCAGUAGGGAAUCUUCGGCAAUGGGGGCAACCCUGACCGAGCAACGCCGCGUGAGUGAAGAAGGUUUUCGGAUCGUAAAGCUCUGUUGUAAGUCAAGAACGGGUGUGAGAGUGGAAAGUUCACACUGUGACGGUAGCUUACCAGAAAGGGACGGCUAACUACGUGCCAGCAGCCGCGGUAAUACGUAGGUCCGAGCGUUGUCCGGAUUU